Small nucleolar RNA from Hyaena hyaena (striped hyena), 133 nucleotides. RefSeq annotates it as small nucleolar RNA SNORA70. Lineage: Eukaryota; Metazoa; Chordata; Mammalia; Carnivora; Hyaenidae. The record is from RefSeq and is a predicted model, not a curated record. The transcript has a single exon.
CUGCAGCCAAUUUAGACAACUGUAAUUUUUCCCAUGGGGGCCCAGUGUACAAUGGCAGCAAAGAGUAGGCUCCUUGGUAGUAUAUACAGCCUGUUGAUUGUAUGGGUUUCCCUAAGGGACUUUGGAGACAACU